GGGGGCGAGAGGCCCGCCAGCCUCCUGGCCCCCCAGCGCCCCUGCCUGCUGUGUACCUGGAGACUCAAACUGAGGCUGUUCGGAGAAAGCGAGGACGUGAGGACGUUUUGCUUUUGCACAUCGGAUGGCAGUGGGUCAGCGCCAGGCUGCGGUCUCCCUGCAAGAUUCCCCAGGGACCCACUGGAAAAGAAUGAGCCUGGAUGCUUAGAAGUCUAUUCCCUCUCUGGGCAGCCAGGCAAGCGCUGACCUGACCUCAGCUUCCAAACCACUGGCGGUUUACUGCUUCAGGGUGUAUGGCCUGAGGAAAGCCUGG
Talpa occidentalis (Iberian mole) is the source of this 313-nucleotide long non-coding RNA. RefSeq lists it as uncharacterized. The record is from RefSeq and is a predicted model, not a curated record. The transcript is spliced from 4 exons. Lineage: Eukaryota; Metazoa; Chordata; Mammalia; Eulipotyphla; Talpidae.